This is a non-coding RNA of Macaca mulatta (Rhesus monkey), 916 nucleotides long. The record is from RefSeq and is a predicted model, not a curated record. Lineage: Eukaryota; Metazoa; Chordata; Mammalia; Primates; Cercopithecidae.
UAAGACGGAUUGGCAUCAAAGUUCACUUCUUUAACAAAAGUGUUUUAUGACUUUAAUAAAAUAUUAGAGAAUGGUAGACUCCAUGGAAGCCCUUUACAAAAACUUGUGAUAGGAAGUUUUGAUGAUGAGCAGACUUUGCAACAACUGGAAUUGCAAAAUGACCCAAUUUUACAAAGCUUCCAAAAUGCAGUUAGUGAAACAAAGAUGAGGAUAUAAGUCUCCCAGAGAGUGAAGAACAGGAGUGUGAAGAGGAUGGUUCAGAGACAGAGGCUGGUGGCCAGGAGGACCUAGAAGAUUUAGAGGAGGAAGAGGAAGUGUCAGAUAUGGGUGGUGACAAUCCUGAAGUGAGUGAGACAGCAAACUCAAGCAAGUGCGAUCUGAGGAAAAGCCCAGUUUUCAGUGCUGAGGAUUCUGAUCUUGACUUUGGUAUCAACAAAUUGGAACAGCAGAGCAAGGUGCAAAACAAAGGACAUGGAAAACCAAGAGAAAAGUCCAUAGUAGAAGAGAUAUUCUUCCAACUCUCUGCAAUGGAGGCCUAUUUAGAACACAGACAACAAGAAGAGGAACAAAAAGAUGAUGAUGAUGAGGUGGAAGAUACUGAUCUUUUUAAAGAUAUUCAUGCUGAUGAAGAUGAAGGGGGACUCUCUGGAAGUAAGAAAGUUAAGUCAGGUAAAAGUUCCAGAAAUGUGAAGUACAAAGAUUUUUUUGAUCCAGUUGAAAAUGAUGAACACAUAGCAAGUGAUCAUGAUGAUGCGCUGGGUUCAAACAAGAUGAUGAAAUUGCUGAAGAAGCAGCAGAAGAACUAAGCAUUUCUGAAAUCUAUUUUGAACCAUCCUUUACAAGCACCUGUGAUUACAGAGGAAACACUUUUCACCUGGAAGAUAUCAUUAAACAAGAUAAGAGUUCAGGUCAGUAA